AGAGUUUGAUCAUGGCUCAGGAUGAACGCUAGCGGCAGGCUUAAUACAUGCAAGUCGAGGGGCAGCACAGGUAGCAAUACUGGGUGGCGACCGGCAAACGGGUGCGGAACACGUACGCAACCUUCCUUUAAGCGGGGGAUAGCCCAGGGAAACUUGGAUUAAAACCCCAUAAGAAUGUGGAGUGGCAUCACUCAGCAUUU
Molecule: ribosomal RNA, 200 nt
Filed under: uncultured bacterium
Lineage: Bacteria
Description: partial 16S ribosomal RNA
Rfam family: Bacterial small subunit ribosomal RNA
Source: RNAcentral